ACUGAGGAAUCUGGCUACAUUUCAGGCCCCAAGGGGAGUCUUCAGUGAGCCCAAUAAGGAAGAAGCAUGAAGAAACUCCUGGCCAUGUCUUUGGUGAUUCUAUGGCUUCAACUGGCCAGGAUGAAUGGCCAACAAGGAGAACAGAAUCUUCAGACCCUGAGCAUCCAGGAGGGUGAAAAUGCCACCAUGAACUGCAGUUAUAAAACUACUAUAACCAAUUUGCAGUGGUAUAAACAGGACUCAGGAAGAGACUUUGCCCAUCUGAUUUUAAUACGUUCAAAUGAGGGAGAGAAACUUAGUGCAAGGCUCCGAGUCACGCUCGACAGCUCCAUCAAAAGCAGCUCCCUGUUCAUCACGGCUUCCCAGGCUGCAGACACUGGUGUUUACUUCUGUGCUACAGAUGCACAGUGCUCACCAGGCAUCUGGGUCCCCCACAAAAACCCUGCCAGAGCUGCCUCUUUGAAGCCCCAAGAGUGUGUAGAAAUGGUGGUUAUGUCUUCCCAUCAAGGAGAGUCUACAAAUAGCUGGCAACAUGAAAGGGAGGACCCCUCAAAUACCUGCCAUUCUGGCAACACCUAGGACAAGGGUAAAGGGCCUGGGAUUUAGAGCUGGAAACUGGAAUGCCAGGUUCAGGUCAGCAGAUCCUGGCUCUGUGUCCUUAGACACAUCAUCGGUAUAGAAGCCUUAAGUCCCCUCACUCUAAAUGAAGGACUUGGACUGAUGAGCCCAAAGACCCUUCAAGCUUUCAUUUUACCAGGUCCUUUGUGGAGGAUGAGGGAGGGCUUCUCAAUAUUAGAUCUCACCUAUUGGUUGUGCAGCCCCCUCAAGAUCUAGGUGGGACUUGGACAUGCAUGCGAUGAUUUUUAUAUUUCUCUAAACCCUGUAU
Non-coding RNA from Phacochoerus africanus (Common warthog), 886 nucleotides. NCBI's taxonomy places the organism in Eukaryota, Metazoa, Chordata, Mammalia, Artiodactyla, Suidae. The record is from the annotation of a RefSeq genome assembly.